This 232-nucleotide long non-coding RNA is filed under the name Elaeis guineensis (African oil palm). RNAcentral describes it as "long non-coding RNA (EGUI_LNC026080)". Lineage: Eukaryota; Viridiplantae; Streptophyta; Magnoliopsida; Arecales; Arecaceae. The record is from RNAcentral.
CUGUUGCAAUAAUAAUCAGCAUAGUUUAGAUACAACCCCACUCAAUGGCAUAGGGGACUUCUUCUAUGAGAAUAGUUUAUCUUUUCUCUCUCUAUAGUUGGCAGCAGACAACCGCAGCAAGCUGUCAUUCAAGUGAUCUUACUAAUAAGAUUUCUUUGCCCAAGAAAAGACGAAUUAAUGCCCCUGCAAUCGUAAUGGUUGCUCCCUAUUCCUUACAAUAAGUAUGCGCCAC